GGGGCAACUGACCCCGGGGGCCAUCUGACCCAGCCGGGGCUUGGGUGGGGUGCAGGCAGGAGGGCAGACUGGAUCUGCAUCCGUACUAAAGCUGGAACCUUCAAGGGGCGCUGGGGUGG
Long non-coding RNA from Lontra canadensis (Northern American river otter), 119 nucleotides. RefSeq lists it as uncharacterized. Lineage: Eukaryota; Metazoa; Chordata; Mammalia; Carnivora; Mustelidae. The record is from RefSeq and is a predicted model, not a curated record. The transcript has 3 exons.